CCAUUUGGCUCCAAACCAUUUGUUAGGUAUGGCCUCAUACUCUCAGCAUCAUAGACCCCAGAUGGCAGCCUCUCAGCCAUUUCCUUCAGCUGUGCAGUAAGCGACUUUAUAACAUCUUUUGCAGCUUUGGUUUUGGAAGAUUCUUCUCCAGCUAAUGCCUUAGCUUCUUGCACCUUCUUUGCUGAUUUCCGAAGCUCUAAUUCUUGGAAGUCACAUUUCUGUCUCAAGCUCUCAACCUGUGCACGCAACUUAAGCACUUCUUGAUUCAAAAGCUCAUUUGUCUUUUUCAAACUAUCAGUUAUACUUUUUGAAAAUGAAAGUCCUGAUGUUGUUGGAACAGGCGUAGCAGAACGCGGGGGGCUAGGUCUCCUUGAGAAAGGUGACACAGACCUGGAACUUACUCCAGAUGGUGUAAGAACAGGUUUUGGAACUUUUGCUCGCAGAUCAACAGCACUGGACAAUACAACAUCUUUUAGCUGUAACAAAGAGGGUGCUUGAGAGGAGCGAACAAGGGAGAACGUAUCAGCUUUCUUUCCUUGUUUGGCUGCUUUGCUAUCUAACUGCUUAAUUAAAUCCAUAUUUGAAGGCAAUGCAGACUUUGAAAGCCUUAUUUCAGCCUUGUCCAACCUAUCUUUGUUUUCACCUGAAAGACGAGGGACAGAAUUU
RNAcentral lists this unclassified non-coding RNA (666 nucleotides) under Hevea brasiliensis (rubber tree). Lineage: Eukaryota; Viridiplantae; Streptophyta; Magnoliopsida; Malpighiales; Euphorbiaceae. The record is from RNAcentral.